Long non-coding RNA from Panicum virgatum (switchgrass), 1064 nucleotides. RefSeq lists it as uncharacterized. NCBI's taxonomy places the organism in Eukaryota, Viridiplantae, Streptophyta, Magnoliopsida, Poales, Poaceae. The record is from RefSeq and is a predicted model, not a curated record. The transcript is spliced from 3 exons.
CGCCGCCGCCGCCUAGAUCUCCUCCGACCUGCUUCUCCCUCCGGUGUUCCUGCAGCCAACUCCUCCUUUGCAUCAAGUGAUUCCCCUCUCCCCGUCCCCCUGCAUCUCCUUGCCCCCACGCUAAGGUUUCUCCUCUCCUCUCCUCACACCUUUUCUUGCAGAUCCUGCAAAAAAUCGCGGUCGGGAGAGCCCUACGGCGGCUGUGAGGGACCCGACGUUGAGCUCCGGGGCCACUUCGUCGGCCAGACGUAGGCAUUAAAGAACCAAGCUGAGAGGUUGAAUCAGCCGGCACUGCAUGAGCAGAAGCGUCACUUCCUGUUAUAACUCAAUUAUGCAGAUAUGCAUAAUAACAUCUUCAGUUUUCUGAUAUAGAUGCCUCUGACACCAUCUUUGAUUAACAAAUCUACUGGUGAUCAAAGUCUAAUACACCAGAUAUGCAUAAUAACUUUUUUAAUCUUUCUGCUUGCGUGAAAUGUUAAACUUUAAUAUUUAUUUUUCGAAAGAUAAACUUUAAUAUUUACAACCUUCUGUUUCUAUUUGUUCAAAGAUCUGUUGAUGGUACUCUGACAACACAUAAUUCUCUCCGUGAUGCAUAUAUCUUCCCACAUAUUCUUGUCUUGAGGCAGAUUUUGGUAACCACCUGUAUUCACUAAUGCUAGCAGUAUAAAAACAAUCAUAAAUUUGAUACUUAUUAUUUGCUUCAUCUUUUUAAAUCUCACUGAUACACCUGUGUGGAUCAUGACAGGCAAGGAAUAAUGCUGCUAUAUUCGACAAGUAACAAGGAUGAAUGAUGAAUCAGAAAUCUCAACUCUUCCAUUUUUUGGAUGCAUUCUCCUGAAGGGAAUCGAUCUAUUUUUGGUGUCAGUUUCAUAUGAUGCUGAAAGCACUAGGAGGACGUAGUGCUUGAACGAUAUUGUAUUCUAGUUAUGCCCAUCUCUAUUGGAUGAUGACAUGAAUAGAUUGGCGGUAGUCUAUUCUAUGAUCUCAACGUGCUCCUGAAUCCUGAAUUCAUGAUGCAACAAAUUUAUUAUGAUUUUAUCAAGCAUUUUAUGUGUUUUCCUGAA